This 499-nucleotide ribosomal RNA is filed under the name uncultured bacterium. RNAcentral's name for it is "bacterial SSU rRNA". It matches the Rfam family "Bacterial small subunit ribosomal RNA", at positions 8 to 507 of the family's 1533-position model. The record is from RNAcentral.
AGAGUUUGAUCAUGGCUCAGGAUGAACGCUGGCGGCAUGCCUAAUACAUGCAAGUCGAACGGAAUCUUAUAUGUUCCUCGUUUCGGAUUUAGUUCCGAGUUGGGGAACAAUAAGAUUUAGUGGCGGACGGGUGAGUAACACGUUGGUACCUACCCUCUAGUGGGGGAAUAACUUCGAGAAAUCGAGGCUAAUACCGCAUAAUAUCUACGGAUUAAAGCAUUUAUGCGCUAGAGGAGGGGCCUGCGUCUGAUUAGCUUGUUGGUGAGGUAAAAGCUCACCAAGGCGACGAUCAGUAGCUGGAUCGAGAGGUUGACCAGCCACACUGGGACUGAGAUACGGCCCAGACUCCUACGGGAGGCAGCAGUAAGGAAUCUUCCACAAUGGGCGAAAGCCUGAUGGAGCAAUGCCGCGUGCAGGAUGACGGCCUUCGGGUUGUAAACUGCUUUUAUAUAGGAAGAUUAUGACGGUACCAUAUGAAUAAGGACCGGCUAACUACGUG